AUGCUUGAAUCUUUCAAGGACUCAUUGAAAAAUAGUUUUUCUAUGAAGGAGUUGGGAGAAGCAGCUUACAUUUUGGGAAUCAAGAUCUAUAGAGAUAGAUCGAGAAGGCUUAUUGGAUUAAGCCAGAGUGCCUAUAUUGAUAAGGUGUUGAAGCGGUUCAACAUGCAAGAUGCCAAGAAAGAUUUCUUGCCCAUGUCACAUGGCAUUAGUCUUAGCAAGACUCAGAGUCCUACGACUCCUGAUGAGCGAAGACGCAUGGAUGGGAUUCCGUAUGCUUCGGCUGUUGGGUCCAUCAUGUAUGCUAUGGUAUGUACUCGUCCUGAUGUUAGUUUUGCUCUUAGCGUGGUGUGCAGAUACCAGGCUGAUCCAGGGGAGAGUCACUGGACAGCGGUUAAGAAUAUCCUUAAGUACUUGAGAAGGACUAAGGAUAUGUUCCUGGUUUAUGGAGGUGAGGAUGAGCUCCUUGUAAAUAGUUACACCGAUGCUAGUUUCCAAACAGAUAGGGAUGAUAGUCGAUCGCAAUCUGGGUUUGUGUUCAUUCUGAACGGAGGAGCAGUGAGCUGGAGGAGCUCCAAGCAAGAUACUGUAGCUGAUUGUACAACAGAGGCCGAGUACAUUGCAGCUUCUGAAGCUGCAAAAGAAGGUGUUUGGGUGAAGAAUUUUAUUUCUGAUCUUGGUGUGGUUGAGGGCGCGUCUAAUCCAUUGGACCUCUAUUGUGAUAAUAGUGGUGCCAUUGCGCAAGUCAAGGAACCACGGAACCAUCAUAAAACCCAACACAUACUCAGGCGUUUUAACCUUAUUCGCGACAUUGUCGAAAGAGGUGAUGUAAACAUAUGCAAGGUACACACGGAUGCAAAUGUUGCUAAUCCAUUGGCGAAGGCUCUCCCACGUCCGAAGCAUGAGGCGCACAUGAGCUCCAUGGGCAUACGAUGCCUAAAU
This 939-nucleotide ribosomal RNA is filed under the name Triticum aestivum (bread wheat). RNAcentral's name for it is "partial small subunit ribosomal RNA". The record is from RNAcentral. Lineage: Eukaryota; Viridiplantae; Streptophyta; Magnoliopsida; Poales; Poaceae.